This 326-nucleotide ribosomal RNA is filed under the name uncultured eukaryote. Its description in RNAcentral is "partial 18S ribosomal RNA". It matches the Rfam family "Eukaryotic small subunit ribosomal RNA", at positions 1470 to 1796 of the family's 1831-position model. The record is from RNAcentral.
CCCUUAGAUGUUCUGGGCCGCACGCGCGCUACACUGAUGCAUUCAACAAGCCUAGCCUUGACCGAGAGGUCCGGGUAAUCUUUGAAACUGCAUCGUGAUGGGGCUAGAUUAUUGCAAUUAUUAAUCUUCAACGAGGUAUGCCUAGUAAGCGUGAUUCAUCAAAUCGCGUUGAUUACGUCCCUGCCCUUUGUACACACCGCCCGUCGCUCCUACCGAUUGAAUGUGUUGGUGAGGAGCUCGGAUUGGCAGCAGUUGGUGGUUCGCCACCGGCUAUUGCUGAGAAGUCCUCCAAACCGCCCCAUUUAGAGGAAGGAGAAGUCGUAACA